RNAcentral lists this ribosomal RNA (253 nucleotides) under uncultured bacterium. Its description in RNAcentral is "partial 16S ribosomal RNA". It matches the Rfam family "Bacterial small subunit ribosomal RNA", at positions 524 to 776 of the family's 1533-position model. The record is from RNAcentral.
UACAGAGGUCUCAAGCGUUGUUCGGAUUCAUUGGGCGUAAAGGGUGCGUAGGUGGCGCGGUAAGUCGGGUGUGAAAUUUCGGAGCUCAACUCCGAAACUGCAUUCGAUACUGCCGUGCUUGAGGACUGGAGAGGAGACUGGAAUUUACGGUGUAGCGGUGAAAUGCGUAGAUAUCGUAAGGAAGACCAGUGGCGAAGGCGGGUCUCUGGACAGUUCCUGACGCUGAGGCACGAAGGUCAGGGGAGCAAACGGG